AAGUCGUAACAAGGUUUCCGUAGGUGAACCUGCGGAAGGAUCAUUAUUGAAUUCAAAUCAUCUGUGGCUUCGGUCCGGAUGUGCCAACAGGUAACACUGUUGGUAAUUCUAUCCAUAACACCUGUGAACUGUUGGAUGCUUGCAUCCACUUUUAUACUAAACAUUAUUGUAACAAAUGUAGUCUUAUUAUAACUAAUAAAACUUUUAACAACGGAUCUCUUGGCUCUCG
This 229-nucleotide unclassified non-coding RNA is filed under the name Filobasidium sp. RNAcentral describes it as "partial internal transcribed spacer region". The stretch from base 1 to 46 matches the Rfam family "Eukaryotic small subunit ribosomal RNA", at positions 1786 to 1831 of the family's 1831-position model. Lineage: Eukaryota; Fungi; Basidiomycota; Tremellomycetes; Filobasidiales; Filobasidiaceae. The record is from RNAcentral.